UCCGUAGGGUGCGAGCGUUGUCCGGAAUUAUUGGGCGUAAAGAGCUCGUAGGCGGUGUGUCACGUCGUUCGUGAAAACCUGCAGCUUAACUGUGGGCGUGCGGUCGAUACGGGCAUCACUGGAGUUCGGCAGGGGAGACUGGAAUUCCUAGUGUAGCGGUGAAAUGCGCAGAUAUCAGGAGGAACACCGAUGGCGAAGGCAGGUCUCUGGGCCACUACUGACGCUGAGAAGCGAAAGCAUGGGGAGCGAACAGG
This 254-nucleotide ribosomal RNA is filed under the name uncultured bacterium. RNAcentral describes it as "partial 16S ribosomal RNA". It matches the Rfam family "Bacterial small subunit ribosomal RNA", at positions 524 to 776 of the family's 1533-position model. The record is from RNAcentral.